Molecule: non-coding RNA, 111 nt
Organism: Mesitornis unicolor (brown roatelo)
Lineage: Eukaryota; Metazoa; Chordata; Aves; Mesitornithiformes; Mesitornithidae
Source: Rfam
UGCGAGGGUGAUGAGUUGCACUGUAGCGGAGCUAUCAUGUCGGGUGACAUGGACUCCGCUCAGAAUCUCCCUGGUGACAAAACUAAGUGCACAGGGGCCAUCUGACUCGCU